UACGGAGGGUGCAAGCGUUAUCCGGAUUCACUGGGUUUAAAGGGUGCGUAGGUGGGUUGGUAAGUCAGUGGUGAAAUCUCCGGGCUUAACCUGGAAACUGCCAUUGAUACUAUCAAUCUUGAAUACCUUGGAGGUGAGCGGAAUAUGUCAUGUAGCGGUGAAAUGCUUAGAUACGACAUAGAACACCAAUUGCGAAGGCAGCUCACUACACGGUCAUUGACACUGAGGCACGAAAGCGUGGGGAUCAAACAGG
RNAcentral lists this ribosomal RNA (253 nucleotides) under uncultured bacterium. RNAcentral's name for it is "partial 16S ribosomal RNA". It matches the Rfam family "Bacterial small subunit ribosomal RNA", at positions 524 to 776 of the family's 1533-position model. The record is from RNAcentral.